UACGUAGGGGGCUAGCGUUGUCCGGAAUCAUUGGGCGUAAAGAGCGUGUAGGCGGUCCGGUAAGUCCGCUGUGAAAGUCGGGGGCUCAACCCUCGAAUGCCGGUGGAUACUGUCGGGCUAGAGUGCGGAAGAGGCGAGUGGAAUUCCUGGUGUAGCGGUGAAAUGCGCAGAUAUCAGGAGGAACACCCGUGGCGAAGGCGGCUCUCUGGUACGUGACUGACGCUGAGACGCGAAAGCGUGGGGAGCGAACAGG
RNAcentral lists this ribosomal RNA (253 nucleotides) under uncultured bacterium. RNAcentral describes it as "partial 16S ribosomal RNA". It matches the Rfam family "Bacterial small subunit ribosomal RNA", at positions 524 to 776 of the family's 1533-position model. The record is from RNAcentral.